GUAGGUGAACCUGCGGAAGGAUCAUUAACACUUUUUCCUUUUUGGAAGCGCGGGAGCCGCUUCGGCGGAUCCCGUGCCUUUCAUUCGCCCCCUUUGAACGAACGUCGGUUGCCCUGUUUCUAUUCUCCUUUUACUAUUUCAUACCCACCCAUUCCACCUGUGACAUGCCACUUGCGUCGCGGGCCCACUCGGCGCGCGCUCGCAAAACACAAAACAUACAGAACAAUCCUCAGCAACGGAUAUCUUGGUUCUC
RNAcentral lists this unclassified non-coding RNA (253 nucleotides) under rhizosphere metagenome. Its description in RNAcentral is "partial ribosomal RNA internal transcribed spacer region". The record is from RNAcentral.